UGUAUUUAUUAGAUAAAAAACCAAUGCCCUUCGGGGCUUUUUGGUGAUUCAUGAUAACUUUACGGAUCGCAUAGCCUUGCGCUGGCGACGGUUCAUUCAAAUUUCUGCCCUAUCAACUUUCGAUGGUAAGGUAUUGGCUUACCAUGGUUUCAACGGGUAACGGGGAAUUAGGGUUCGAUUCCGGAGAGGGAGCCCGAGAAACGGCUACCACAUCCAAGGAAGGCAGCAGGCGCGCAAAUUACCCAAUCCCGACACGGGGAGGUAGUGACAAUAAAUACUGAUACAGGGCUCUUUUGGGUCUUGUAAUUGGAAUGAGUACAAUUUAAACCUCUUAACGAGGAACAAUUGGAGGGCAAGUCUGGUGCCAGCAGCCGCGGUAAUUCCAGCUCCAAUAGCGUAUAUUAAAGUUGUUGCAGUUAAAAAGCUCGUAGUUGAAACUUGGGCCUGGCUGGCGGGUCCGCCUCACCGCGUGCACUCGUCCGGCCGGGCCUUCCUUCUGAAGAACCUCAUGCCCUUCACUGGGCGUGCUGGGGAACCAGG
RNAcentral lists this ribosomal RNA (540 nucleotides) under uncultured eukaryote. RNAcentral's name for it is "SSU rRNA". It matches the Rfam family "Eukaryotic small subunit ribosomal RNA", at positions 202 to 746 of the family's 1831-position model. The record is from RNAcentral.